AUGCUCAUUCUCAAAAAAAGCGGAAAAGCAAUGAUGUUUCCACUCCAUUUUCAUUACGAAGAUGUAUUACGUCAGGAUCUGUUGCUCAAACUGAAUCACGCCAAUGUUAUGGAAGUUCCUGGAUUGUUUGAAAUAAGAUUAGUACCAAAAGCUGCCUCUGAUUUCAGAAUCCAAUUUGGAAAAUUGGCUAUGGAGAUUUUGUGCGGUCAGAGAUUCAUACAGACACAAAGGGGCCCCUAUUUUCAAGCAGGAAAGUCGUUUCGAUCCAAUCCAUUCUUGGGGUCCGAAAAAGACACUGGAUAUGUCAGUGACUUUGCACGACAAAGCGUUCUCCGAGGGCAUGGAAUGUACCAUUUUUUGGUCAGAAUCUUUACAGUAAUGUCUAUGUUGGAUUCUCCGGUCGAAAUACGGGAAAACUCCAUCAAAUUCUUUAUGGAAAUGGAGUUUUGCGAAUUCUCCCCGGAACUGGAAGAUCAUUUCGAGAUCUUCAAGCAUAUUCGAGGGUUCAAUGUGACUAUUGUCACUUCGGCCAAUACAAAAGAUGAGACUUUACUACUGUGGAGCGGCUUUUUGCUAAAAGAUGAGGGGGAAACUAAGUAA
RNAcentral lists this ribosomal RNA (600 nucleotides) under Triticum aestivum (bread wheat). Its description in RNAcentral is "partial small subunit ribosomal RNA". The record is from RNAcentral. Lineage: Eukaryota; Viridiplantae; Streptophyta; Magnoliopsida; Poales; Poaceae.